This 464-nucleotide ribosomal RNA is filed under the name uncultured bacterium. RNAcentral describes it as "partial 16S ribosomal RNA". It matches the Rfam family "Bacterial small subunit ribosomal RNA", at positions 339 to 795 of the family's 1533-position model. The record is from RNAcentral.
CUACGGGGGGCUCCAGUGGGGAAUAUUGCACAACGGGCGCAAGCCUGAUGCAGCCAUGCCGCGUGUAUGAAGAAGGCCUUCGGGUUGUAAAGUACUUUCAGCGGGGAGGAAGGGAGUAAAGUUAAUACCUUUGCUCAUUGACGUUACCCGCAGAAGAAGCACCGGCUAACUCCGUGCCAGCAGCCGCGGUAAUACGGAGGGUGCAAGCGUUAAUCGGAAUUACUGGGCGUAAAGCGCACGCAGGCGGUUUGUUAAGUCAGAUGUGAAAUCCCCGGGCUCAACCUGGGAACUGCAUCUGAUACUGGCAAGCGUGAGUCUCGUAGAGGGGGGUAGAAUUCCAGGUGUAGCGGUGAAAUGCGUAGAGAUCUGGAGGAAUACCGGUGGCGAAGGCGGCCCCCUGGACGAAGACUGACGCUCAGGUGCGAAAGCGUGGGGAGCAAACAGGAUUAGAUACCCCAGUAGUC